GUGAGAACUGCCAGUUAUGAGAGCAAUGAAGGAAACAGACUUCCAGGUAUGGGAAAAAUUGAGGAGAAAGGCCUUGAACCAAGAAAGAACUUGACACACCUGCGGAACUUAAAUGAAACCACAUUGACCGUGGACUACUGAGCGGGUUCGAGAGGGGAGACCAGAGCACUGGGCAAGGGCCAGAUCGUGAAGGGCUUUAGCCCCAGCACAUAGUUGUAUAUCUUGGCUGUAGGUCAUUCUAGCUCUUCCAUGUGGGAUGCCUGCCACAGCAUGGCCUGAUGAGUGGCGUGUAGGUCCAUGCCCAGGAUCCGAACCGCCAAACCCCAGGCUGCCAAUGUGGAAUGUACGAACUUAAUCACUGGAGCACGGGGCUGACCACCAGAAAUCUAAACUUUUGAAAGCAAAGGUAGAACUGACUUGAAGAAGACACUAGUCAGACUGGAAAUAGAAACAAGCUAGUUUAUUAAAUGCUUCUCUGUAAAGACUAUCCUGUGUUACAUGGAUUAUUUCUUAAUUCAUAUAAGAACACUGCUAGGUACAUGUUAACAAGGGCAACUGGUUAGGUAUAUUUGUAGUCAAGGACACGUGUUGUGUGAUUUUGGAGAGAAGAGAUCAGUUCUGACUUGAACUAAGAAGCUGUGAUGAAAUUCAUCCAGAAAAAUGUGGAGGCAACUGGAGGAAAUACCACGUAGAUGUCUAAGGGACCAAUACUGGAACUGAGAAGCCAGAUAAAACUCCACUUGGUCAGUGAUUGCUUACGUGACAAGAUUCCUUACGUAGGAACUUUCAUGCCAUGAAGUAUCUGGCUAAGACUGUGUUGGAUGGCUCACCUCAGAAGUCUCAGCUUUACACUCUCGUGAAAAGCCCUCGUUCUAAUGGUGAUGCUAGAAUAAUUGCAUCACAGACACCUAGAGAAGAAAAGGACCUUUUGUCUGUUCCACACCCCCAGCAAUUAAUCAGCAGCAAAGGGGGAGAAUCACCUGGGGGCAAUCGCUACAAGUUUCACUUAUCCACUGGAAACCAAACACAAGAAAAGCAGACUGAGUCACACAAAAAUGUCCAAUUAUUAAAAACAAAUGUUUAGGUGGUGGGACCUGAUCCAAGAAAGACUCUGAGAUACUUUUCAGGUAGACAUCUAAGUCACAAGAUAAGUAUCUUGCCUGAAGCUGUGGAGAAAAGAUAAACAGAAAAAUUUCAAACACCACUACCGAGAGAAAAAUUUCUUUUGAUCUGAUACCUUUAUUAAUUUUUUCCUGUUAUGGUCUUUUCUCAUGAUCUAUUGUAUUGUG
This 1289-nucleotide long non-coding RNA is filed under the name Equus caballus (horse). RNAcentral's name for it is "lncRNA (ENSECAG00000058346.1)". The record is from RNAcentral. Lineage: Eukaryota; Metazoa; Chordata; Mammalia; Perissodactyla; Equidae.